GCGGGCAUGGUGAAAUGGUAUCAUAAGAGCCUUCCAAGCUUAAGGUGCGGGUUCGAUUCCCGCUGCCCGCUCCA
This 74-nucleotide transfer RNA is filed under the name Pseudaestuariivita atlantica. Its description in RNAcentral is "tRNA-Gly". It matches the Rfam family "tRNA". Rfam says of the family: Transfer RNA (tRNA) molecules are approximately 80 nucleotides in length. Their secondary structure includes four short double-helical elements and three loops (D, anti-codon, and T loops). The record is from RNAcentral. RNAcentral also lists the same sequence under 1 other name. Lineage: Bacteria; Pseudomonadati; Pseudomonadota; Alphaproteobacteria; Rhodobacterales; Paracoccaceae.